UACGGGGGGGAGCAAGCGUUGUUCGGAUUUACUGGGCGUAAAGGGCGCGUAGGCGGCGUAACAAGUCACUUGUGAAAUCUCCGGGCUUAACCCGGAGCGGCCAAGUGAUACUGUUGUGCUAGAGUGCGGAAGAGGCGAGUGGAACUCCGUGGUGUAGCGGUGGAAUGCGCAGAUAUCAGGAAGAACACCAAUAGCGAAGGCAGCUCGCUGGGACGGUAUUGACGCUAAGGCGCGAAAGCGUGGGGAGCGAACAGG
This 255-nucleotide ribosomal RNA is filed under the name uncultured bacterium. Its description in RNAcentral is "partial 16S ribosomal RNA". It matches the Rfam family "Bacterial small subunit ribosomal RNA", at positions 524 to 776 of the family's 1533-position model. The record is from RNAcentral.